AGAUUCUUAAAUGAUGCUCCACCUGCACAUAUUUUAAGCCACAGCCACACACACAAGAAAGAAGACAUGAAGGAAUGUGCAAAAAGAGACAAGAGAUAAUCGAACAAUGUGGCAAGUAAACAUUCGAGAAAUUCCUAAUGCUUAUUAAAGACACUGUUUGAAAAGUUUAGCUGUAAUCUUCAAAACCAUAGCUUUUUGAUACUAAGACAACAAAUUCAAAAAAGUUCACAUAUUCAUGAUAGAUUAUGACUUUAGUUUAUUACUUUCUACAGAAGCAGAAUAAGAAUGACCUGGUGAAGGGAUCCAAAAACAGUUUUCAAGAUUUUGUCCUCCACUAUCCCUUAAAACAAAAGAUAAAAAUUUACUUGCGUUUUAGUUAGUGGAAAUCGAAAAAAAGGUAGACUAAAAUAAUCACUUGUUCACCAAUAGAGAAAAAAACGAAAAUCUUAAAAAGUUGUACAGGUGGCAAAGACGAAUGAAUACUUUUCUUAGAUUGGGACCUGUUUUGGGUUUGGAUUUUGAGCUAGACAUUUAAAAUUCAGCAGCUUUACCUAAUGGCGAAUUCAAUCUUAA
Long non-coding RNA from Arabidopsis thaliana (thale cress), 573 nucleotides. RefSeq annotates it as other RNA. The transcript has a single exon. Lineage: Eukaryota; Viridiplantae; Streptophyta; Magnoliopsida; Brassicales; Brassicaceae. The record is from RefSeq.